RNAcentral lists this ribosomal RNA (484 nucleotides) under uncultured bacterium. Its description in RNAcentral is "partial 16S ribosomal RNA". It matches the Rfam family "Bacterial small subunit ribosomal RNA", at positions 30 to 507 of the family's 1533-position model. The record is from RNAcentral.
AUUGAACGCUGGCGGCAGGCCUAACACAUGCAAGUCGAGCGGAUGCAGGGAGCUUGCUCCUGGAUUCAGCGGCGGACGGGUGAGUAAUGCCUAGGAAUCUGCCUGGUAGUGGGGGCUAACGUCCGGACACGGGCGCUAAUACCGCAUACGUCCAGAGGGAGAACGUGGGGGAUCUUCGGACCUCACGCUAUCAGAUGAGCCUAGGUCGGAUUAGCUAGUUGGUGGGGUAAAGGCCUACCAAGGCGACGAUCCGUAACUGGUCUGAGAGGAUGAUCAGACACACUGGAACUGAGACACGGUCCAGACUCCUACGGGAGGCAGCAGUGGGGAAUAUUGGACAAUGGGCGAAAGCCUGAUCCAGCCAUGCCGCGUGUGUGAAGAAGGUCUUCGGAUUGUAAAGCACUUUAAGUUGGGAGGAAGGGCAGUAAGUUAAUACCUUGCUGUUUUGACGGUACCAACAGAAUAAGCACCGGCUAACUUCGUG